This 32-nucleotide ribosomal RNA is filed under the name Psilocybe subaeruginosa. RNAcentral's name for it is "partial 18S ribosomal RNA". The record is from RNAcentral. Lineage: Eukaryota; Fungi; Basidiomycota; Agaricomycetes; Agaricales; Agrocybaceae.
UUUCCGUAGGUGAACNUGCGGAAGGAUCAUUA